UGGGGAAUCUUGCGCAAUGGGCGAAAGCCUGACGCAGCCAUGCCGCGUGAAUGAUGAAGGUCUUAGGAUUGUAAAGUUCUUUCGCCCGUGACGAUGAUGACGGUAACGGGAGAAGAAGCCCCGGCUAACUUCGUGCCAGCAGCCGCGGUAAUACGAAGGGGGCUAGCGUUGUUCGGAAUUACUGGGCGUAAAGCGCGCGUAGGCGGUUUUGCAAGCCAGAGGUGAAAUGCCUGAGCUCAACUUGGGAAUUGCCUUUGGGACUGCGAGGCUUUGAGGACUGGAGAGGUGAGUGGAAUUCCCAGUGUAGAGGUGAAAUUCGUAGAUAUUGGGAAGAACACCGGUGGCGAAGGCGGCUCACUGGCCAGUUUCUGACGCUGUAGCGCGAAAGCGUGGGGAUCAAACAGGAUUAGAUACCCUGGUAGUCCACGCCGUAAACGAUGAGUGCUAGGCGUCGGCAGGCUUGCCUGUCGGUGCCGCAGCUAACGC
This 486-nucleotide ribosomal RNA is filed under the name uncultured Pseudomonadota bacterium. RNAcentral's name for it is "bacterial SSU rRNA". It matches the Rfam family "Bacterial small subunit ribosomal RNA", at positions 355 to 858 of the family's 1533-position model. Lineage: Bacteria; Pseudomonadati; Pseudomonadota. The record is from RNAcentral.